Molecule: long non-coding RNA, 381 nt
Organism: Solanum dulcamara
Lineage: Eukaryota; Viridiplantae; Streptophyta; Magnoliopsida; Solanales; Solanaceae
Exons: 3
Source: RefSeq, a predicted model, not a curated record
CUAAAGGGGUAACGAAGCAAGCUUGGAUACGGUGGAUCUGUAACAGGUCGGGUACGAUAUACGAUGAUGAUAUGCAUGACUUCAUUUCAUAAGAUGCAGGUACAAACACACAUUUCAAAGAUUCACCAGCUUAGGAUUUCUACUCAGUUAUUUUAGAGUGCUCCAUUGUACUAGAGCCUAGAUUUUUGGUAUUGAUCUUUUUGAUGUAUAUAUUUGUUUAGUCAGGGGUAUGGCGGGGGUCCUGUCCCGCCAUAUGAUAUUGUUGACACUCUUAGAGGUCUGUAGACAUAUGUGUGUGGAUUGUGUGUAAGUUUUUUCAGCUACGUCUAUACAAUGUGUUGUGAAUAUUAAUAUGAAAUAAUGACAUCAUUGUCAGCUUGU